RNAcentral lists this long non-coding RNA (347 nucleotides) under Triticum aestivum (bread wheat). RNAcentral describes it as "long non-coding RNA (TAES_LNC025764)". Lineage: Eukaryota; Viridiplantae; Streptophyta; Magnoliopsida; Poales; Poaceae. The record is from RNAcentral.
GUCAGGGAUCUAAUAUCAUGUAGUUCCAGGGAUUUCAGAAGGUCUGGUCAGUCCAUUGUUCUUGCCAUGUGUUACUCUUUCUCAUUACUGUGAUCAUCAGUGCUCUUGACAUCGGUUACUUUUUCUCAUUACUAUGAUCGUCAGUGCUCUUGACAUCGGUUACUUUUUCUCAUUACUGUGAUUGUUUAUGCUCUUGACAUCGGUUGUUCUUGCUUUAUGGUUGCCUUCCCAGUGCACUUUUAUUAGUUCUAACAUAUUAAUGUUAAUAUGCUUGAUUGACCAUAUUAUAUAUUUCACUUCACCGGGGUGGUUGGUGGAAGUGGUAGUUAAAAUAUUUUGCUUAAAAC